RNAcentral lists this ribosomal RNA (407 nucleotides) under uncultured bacterium. RNAcentral's name for it is "bacterial SSU rRNA". It matches the Rfam family "Bacterial small subunit ribosomal RNA", at positions 355 to 774 of the family's 1533-position model. The record is from RNAcentral.
UGGGGAAUAUUGCACAAUGGGCGCAAGCCUGAUGCAGCAACGCCGCGUGAGGGACGACGGCCUUCGGGUUGUAAACCUCUUUUGGCAGGGAAGAAGCGACAGUGACGGUACCUGCAGAAAAAGCACCGGCUAACUACGUGCCAGCAGCCGCGGUGAUACGUAGGGUGCAAGCGUUGUCCGGAAUUAUUGGGCGUAAAGAGCUCGUAGGCGGUUUGUCGCGUAUGCUGUGAAAACCCGAGGCUCAACCUCGGGCCUGCAGUGGGUACGGGCAAACUAGAGUGCGGUAGGGGAGAUUGGAAUUCCUGGUGUAGCGGUGGAAUGCGCAGAUAUCAGGAGGAACACCGAUGGCGAAGGCAGAUCUCUGGGCCGUAACUGACGCUGAGGAGCGAAAGCAUGGGGAGCGAACA